GUGCUCACUUUGGACGCACAUAUGUUGCAUUGAAGCAUACAGAGAAGGUUCUCUGGCUCCUGUGUAAGAAUAAUAUGUAAAUCCUUGAAGCUUUCCAUAUUUUU
Molecule: small nuclear RNA, 104 nt
Filed under: Tupaia belangeri (northern tree shrew)
Lineage: Eukaryota; Metazoa; Chordata; Mammalia; Scandentia; Tupaiidae
Source: RNAcentral